RNAcentral lists this ribosomal RNA (478 nucleotides) under uncultured bacterium. RNAcentral describes it as "bacterial SSU rRNA". It matches the Rfam family "Bacterial small subunit ribosomal RNA", at positions 29 to 502 of the family's 1533-position model. The record is from RNAcentral.
AUUGAACGCUGGCGGAAUGCUUUACACAUGCAAGUCGAGCGGCAGCGCGGGGCAACCUGGCGGCGAGCGGCGAACGGGUGAGUAAUGCAUCGGAACGUACCCAGUCGUGGGGGAUAACUGUCCGAAAGGACAGCUAAUACCGCAUACGUCCUGAGGGAGAAAGCGGGGGAUCGCAAGACCUCGCGCGACUGGAGCGGCCGAUGCCGGAUUAGCUAGUUGGUAGGGUAAAGGCCUACCAAGGCGACGAUCCGUAGCUGGUCUGAGAGGACGACCAGCCACACUGGAACUGAGACACGGUCCAGACUCCUACGGGAGGCAGCAGUGGGGAAUCUUGCGCAAUGGGAGCAAUCCUGACGCAGCAACGCCGCGUGGGUGAUGAAGGUCUUCGGAUCGUAAAGCCCUGUCGGAGGGGAAGAUGCUUGGAACGUCUAAUAGAUGAGCCAGGUGACGGUACCCUCAAAGGAAGCACCGGCUAACU